This 347-nucleotide long non-coding RNA is filed under the name Nicotiana tabacum (common tobacco). Its description in RNAcentral is "long non-coding RNA (NTAB_LNC004057)". The record is from RNAcentral. Lineage: Eukaryota; Viridiplantae; Streptophyta; Magnoliopsida; Solanales; Solanaceae.
GUGACCCACCUACGCUACGCUACGUAGUAUUCCUCCUCUCCCUCCAGAAAGCAAAAAGGUAUGCAGCUCCAGCCAAAAGUUCACCCUUACUAUUUUAUGUUGUGUUGCUCUUUAAUUUCCUCUCUGCCUUACUCUUUAUGUUAGGGGAGUGAAUAAAUAAUUAUCUAGAAAUUAAAGGUGUUUAAUAAUUUGCUAUUACAGAGAGGAGGCCACAGGUCGUCUAUGGUGUCCUUGCUUUCUCUGAAUUAAGCUCCUCUGCUCUCACUGCAAUUCGUUCCUCAGCUUUUUUAGUUACUCCUACUCAUCUUGGUUUCACCGCCGACACUUAUUUACACCUCCACUUCCCU